UGGGGAAUAUUGCACAAUGGGCGCAAGCCUGAUGCAGCCAUGCCGCGUGUAUGAAGAAGGCCUUCGGGUUGUAAAGUACUUUCAGCGGGGAGGAAGGUGUUGUGGUUAAUAACCGCAGCAAUUGACGUUACCCGCAGAAGAAGCACCGGCUAACUCCGUGCCAGCAGCCGCGGUAAUACGGAGGGUGCAAGCGUUAAUCGGAAUUACUGGGCGUAAAGCGCACGCAGGCGGUCUGUCAAGUCGGAUGUGAAAUCCCCGGGCUCAACCUGGGAACUGCAUUCGAAACUGGCAGGCUAGAGUCUUGUAGAGGGGGGUAGAAUUCCAGGUGUAGCGGUGAAAUGCGUAGAGAUCUGGAGGAAUACCGGUGGCGAAGGCGGCCCCCUGGACAAAGACUGAUGCUCAGGUGCGAAAGCGUGGGGAGCAAACA
RNAcentral lists this ribosomal RNA (427 nucleotides) under uncultured bacterium. RNAcentral's name for it is "partial 16S ribosomal RNA". It matches the Rfam family "Bacterial small subunit ribosomal RNA", at positions 355 to 774 of the family's 1533-position model. The record is from RNAcentral.